UACGUAGGUGACAAGCGUUGUCCGGAUUUACUGGGCGUAAAGAGCGCGCAGGCGGUCGUUCAAGUCGAGUGUGAAAGCCCCCGGCUCAACUGGGGAGGGUCACUCGAUACUGAUCGACUUGAAGGCAGGAGAGGGAAGCGGAAUUCAUGGUGUAGCAGUGAAAUGCGUAGAGAUCAUGAGGAAGACCAGUGGCGAAGGCGGGUCUCUGGACAGUUCCUGACACUGAGGCACGAAGACCAGGGGAGCAAACAGG
RNAcentral lists this ribosomal RNA (253 nucleotides) under uncultured bacterium. RNAcentral's name for it is "partial 16S ribosomal RNA". It matches the Rfam family "Bacterial small subunit ribosomal RNA", at positions 524 to 776 of the family's 1533-position model. The record is from RNAcentral.